This is a long non-coding RNA of Nothoprocta perdicaria, 344 nucleotides long. RefSeq lists it as uncharacterized. Lineage: Eukaryota; Metazoa; Chordata; Aves; Tinamiformes; Tinamidae. The transcript has 3 exons. The record is from RefSeq and is a predicted model, not a curated record.
UAUUUUGCAGGCGUGUUUAUAGCAGUUUCUUUGCAAAGUCUGACUCUGGAAGUUUAAUUGCUCUUCAGUGAGAAUUGAUGCUCUCAGCUCAUUAUGGGAGCUAGUGUCUUGGCUGCUGCUCUUUUGUGUGGUAUUAUAAAACAGGGCUGCACGAGAGCUUUGGAAACACAAACAUCUUGGCUCUGCUGAAUUCCUGGGCAGAAGUAGAAUGGCAGCCAUGCUGAACGUGUCUGAGCAAUCUCAGGAGGAAAGCAGAACUGGGGUAAUCUAAACAGACAGCAGGAAAAGCACAGUACUGUCACAUUGCUGAAGUUGCAGGGCGGUGGGCAGAGGGGCAGUGUGAG